UUUAUGGAGAGUUUGAUCCUGGCUCAGGAUGAACGCUGGCGGCGUGCCUAAUACAUGCAAGUCGAGCGAACGGACGAGAAGCUUGCUUCUCUGAUGUUAGCGGCGGACGGGUGAGUAACACGUGGAUAACCUACCUAUAAGACUGGGAUAACUUCGGGAAACCGGAGCUAAUACCGGAUAAUAUUUNGAACCGCAUGGUUCAAAAGUGAAAGACGGUCUUGCUGUCACUUAUAGAUGGAUCCGCGCUGCAUUAGCUAGUUGGUAAGGUAACGGCUUACCAAGGCAACGAUGCAUAGCCGACCUGAGAGGGUGAUCGGCCACACUGGAACUGAGACACGGUCCAGACUCCUACGGGAGGCAGCAGUAGGGAAUCUUCCGCAAUGGGCGAAAGCCUGACGGAGCAACGCCGCGUGAGUGAUGAAGGUCUUCGGAUCGUAAAACUCUGUUAUUAGGGAAGAACAUAUGUGUAAGUAACUGUGCACAUCUUGACGGUACCUAAUCAGAAAGCCACGGCUAACUACGUGCCAGCAGCCGCGGUAAUACGUAGGUGGCAAGCGUUAUCCGGAAUUAUUGGGCGUAAAGCGCGCGUAGGCGGUUUUUUAAGUCUGAUGUGAAAGCCCACGGCUCAACCGUGGAGGGUCAUUGGAAACUGGAAAACUUGAGUGCAGAAGAGGAAAGUGGAAUUCCAUGUGUAGCGGUGAAAUGCGCAGAGAUAUGGAGGAACACCAGUGGCGAAGGCGACUUUCUGGUCUGUAACUGACGCUGAUGUGCGAAAGCGUGGGGAUCAAACAGGAUUAGAUACCCUGGUAGUCCACGCCGUAAACGAUGAGUGCUAAGUGUUAGGGGGUUUCCGCCCCUUAGUGCUGCAGCUAACGCAUUAAGCACUCCGCCUGGGGAGUACGACCGCAAGGUUGAAACUCAAAGGAAUUGACGGGGACCCGCACAAGCGGUGGAGCAUGUGGUUUAAUUCGAAGCAACGCGAAGAACCUUACCAAAUCUUGACAUCCUUUGACCACUCUAGAGAUAGAGCUUUCCCUUCGGGGACAAAGUGACAGGUGGUGCAUGGUUGUCGUCAGCUCGUGUCGUGAGAUGUUGGGUUAAGUCCCGCAACGAGCGCAACCCUUAAGCUUAGUUGCCAUCAUUAAGUUGGGCACUCUAAGUUGACUGCCGGUGACAAACCGGAGGAAGGUGGGGAUGACGUCAAAUCAUCAUGCCCCUUAUGAUUUGGGCUACACACGUGCUACAAUGGACAAUACAAAGGGCAGCGAAACCGCGAGGUCAAGCAAAUCCCAUAAAGUUGUUCUCAGUUCGGAUUGUAGUCUGCAACUCGACUACAUGAAGCUGGAAUCGCUAGUAAUCGUAGAUCAGCAUGCUACGGUGAAUACGUUCCCGGGUCUUGUACACACCGCCCGUCACACCACGAGAGUUUGUAACACCCGAAGCCGGUGGAGUAACCUUUUAGGAGCUAGCCGUCGAAGGUGGGACAAAUGAUUGGGGUGAAGUCGUAACAAGGUAGCCGUAUCGGAAGGUGCGGCUGGAUCACCUCCUUUCU
RNAcentral lists this ribosomal RNA (1552 nucleotides) under Staphylococcus aureus. RNAcentral describes it as "16S ribosomal RNA". It matches the Rfam family "Bacterial small subunit ribosomal RNA". The record is from RNAcentral. Lineage: Bacteria; Bacillati; Bacillota; Bacilli; Caryophanales; Staphylococcaceae.